RNAcentral lists this long non-coding RNA (483 nucleotides) under Piliocolobus tephrosceles (Ugandan red Colobus). RNAcentral describes it as "lncRNA (ENSPTEG00000017321.1)". The record is from RNAcentral. Lineage: Eukaryota; Metazoa; Chordata; Mammalia; Primates; Cercopithecidae.
UUGAUGGAGAGGUCACAGAAUGUGUUGUAUCUUAUGUUGAAGCAGAUCCUGUUGAAAAGCACAUAUACUUUUUAAAGUUUGCACGAGUUGUAGAAAAUAAAAUAACUGAGUUAAACAUCCCUUGCAGCUUAAUUGGCUUAAUAGGAUGUCCUGCUUAUAUUAAUGGAUACCAUGUCCAGUUGGCUUUAAAUUAUAUAAAAUGUAAAGUAUUAGGAAACAAUAUUCCCCCACCUUUUCAAAUUGAUGUCUCUAAGUUAACAUAUAAAGAACCAUAUAAUUCUAUUAAUUUAAAGGAUUUAAAGAGUAUGAUUUAGAUAAGACAGAGGUAGUUUGGACAUAUGAAACAGGAAAAAUACCAGAAACACCGUUACCAGACGAUUAUAUGGACCCCAACUUUUUGAACAAACAAGGAAAAAGAAUUCAAUUAACAUAUAAAGAUUAUUGGCCAAAACAAUAAAUGUAAUUUUUUUUUUUUUUUUUACA